Molecule: long non-coding RNA, 1430 nt
Organism: Patella vulgata (common limpet)
Lineage: Eukaryota; Metazoa; Mollusca; Gastropoda; Patellidae
Exons: 3
Source: RefSeq, a predicted model, not a curated record
UGUUGUCAACAUUAGUAAAAAUAAUGGUAAAGUCAGAGAUGGUUCAUUCCAUAUAAUUAACAUAGAUUGUUAAUGAGUUUGAAUUAUUACCUGCAUAAACUAUGUAACUACCUGAGAGAGGCUCAGAGCUGACGGACAGAAGAGCAGAAACCAAGAUGGCUUACCUGUUUAAUUAUUGCUGUUUGAGCAAGUUUGGCUGGAUCUGGUUUUGUUUCUCCAUUUAGACUUUCUGUGGCCGUCCCAUCAUUAGAAUCAGUGUCCAUUUUUAAAUGUGUAAAGGAAUUCCAGAGUCAGGUGCUGUCUGGCAUUAGAUCUCGCGUCUGCAAGACAAGAAGAGCUGAUAUUAAACACUCAAUGUAAAACAUUGUAUAAGAGGAAUGAUGGUUGUACCAAUAGUCUUUAUAGAUCCUUAUAAGCAGGAGGUAAAUUAAACAGGAUUGGUAAUAUCUACCCAUAAGCCCUUUUUAAGCAAAAACUUGGAUUGAGAGAGGUUAAAUGAAAGGAUCAGAAGUUCCUCCUUAUCUUUCUUUUUUUAUUACAGUUGGAUCUCUAAAUGGUAUAAAUUUCAAGCAUGUCAAAAUAUAUUUGUUAAUGAAACAGACCAGAAUAUGGUUACUUUGAGUACAGGAACCAGAGGGAUGGUACCAACUGGAACUGAUGAUUUUGCUUUCAUGUGCUUCUGAACCAUAGUCUAGCGCAGGUGAUUCUUGAAUUGUGCAAGAGCGAAGACGCUAACCGCUAUACAUACUACUACUACCUGUUGUUUUAACGCUUCCACAGAAGUGAUAUCACAGACAAGGCUUAGGAGAGCCGAAGCUUCUUCCUGUUUUAAGAAUAUGAUUUAGCAAUCUUUCCAUUUGCGGCCUUUAGGCCAUGGAAUAGGUUUAGUUGGAUAUUCAUCUUUUUAUUAAAUACAAAAAACAAAAAGUAAUGUGUUGGUAGUCGAUUUCUCUUCUGGAUUGGUAGAUGUCGUCUUUGUGGGAUUAGUGUUUAGGUGCCAGACCUGUCUUAUCGUGGUCUCUCCUUACUCCACUAUCCCACUCUGCAGAUUUGGUGUCGUUUUUAGCUGUUUAGUGUUUAGUUAGUCACAGUGAUAAAUACUGAAUGCAGUAUACAUUGGGGGAAUGUUGAUAACGGCAUGCACUCCUCGAAAUGAAAUGGGGUCUAAUGUAAUACAUGUACUUUUCUGCACCAACUGGGCUAAUGGAGAUGUACAUACACCUAUAAAGUGUGCUAUGUGGGAAAUUUUGCCCAGAAAGCAGUGCUACUGCCUACUCUUAUAUCACAUUCAAACUGUCAAUAGUUCUUUUAUAUGCACACAUAAUAUGUGUUCAUUGUACUUUGGUUUUUUUGUGCCAUCCAAACAACUAGACACUGUUCUUUUGCCUUCUGUCCUGCACCACUAACAAGGGGGAACUGCACCGGAAAAA